UUAUCGAUCCAUCUCAACCUCCAUCCGACCAAAGCCAACAAGAACCAAGUUUGACCAACGAGGCUUCUUCUGUUUCCGACAAGAAAGAUCAAGCUUUACCUGAAGAGAAACCGAAACAGAAUCAAGAAAACGAGAGAGCGGUCACUGGGAGAGAGAAGCUAAAGCAUCAUCGGAGAGAGAUGGCAGGAAGAGUUUGGAUACCGGAGAUAUGGGGACAAGAAGAGCUUCUUAAGGAUUGGAUCGACUGUUCGACGUUUGAUACGUGUCUAGUCCCUAACGGGAUCUCGUCGGCACGUGCGGC
This 301-nucleotide long non-coding RNA is filed under the name Brassica rapa (field mustard). RNAcentral describes it as "long non-coding RNA (BRAP_LNC002723)". Lineage: Eukaryota; Viridiplantae; Streptophyta; Magnoliopsida; Brassicales; Brassicaceae. The record is from RNAcentral.